Corylus avellana is the source of this 3142-nucleotide RNA transcript. It is a transcript of the gene named Pentatricopeptide repeat (PPR-like) superfamily protein, with no coding region annotated. The record is from RefSeq and is a predicted model, not a curated record. NCBI's taxonomy places the organism in Eukaryota, Viridiplantae, Streptophyta, Magnoliopsida, Fagales, Betulaceae.
AGUAAUCUCCUCCCCCACUCCCUCAAACCUUAUCCGCAACAUGGCCAUUUCCAGUUGCUCAGACUGGCCUCUAGCUUGCAUCAACUCUUGCAGAUCAAAUUCCCACGGAUCAACACUCAUCCCGGCAUGCAAAAUCCUCUCCAUUCUCUCAGUGUCAUGCUCAAAAUUCCAAAAUUUUCGGGUCAACUCCUUCGGCUGCUCCCCGUCGCCCAUAUUAGAAGAGGCUUCCGGCAGCCUACCCGUCGUCGAGUUGAACGUAGACUUUCCAGAUUCCGAGCAAUGCACCGUACCAGAUUCUGACAAUCUAAAUGAUCUUUUACGUCGGUUAUUUGGAGAUCCCAAAACCCAGGAACUCGCUUUCGAUUACUAUGAAAAACUGAAACAACGGCCUGAAUUUAGACCCGACAAAUCGACGUUAAAGCAAGUAAUCAGGUAUUUGUCAAGCUCAAAGAAAUGGCAUGCGAUUUUACUUCUUUUCAAGGAUUUUAAGAAUUAUCAUGUGUUCCCAGAUGCCUCCACUUGUUCUAGAUUGGUUAGCAGUUGCAUUAGAGCAAGAAAAUUCAAAAUUGUUGAGACUUUUCUUGAAGAUUUUAAAUCUAAUAGGGAAGUCAGCACUGUGUUGACCUUUGGAUCUGCAAUGAGAGGCUAUAACAAGCUUCAUAUGUAUAGGAGCACGAUAGUAGCAUUUAGGAAAAUGAAAUCUGCCGGAGUUUUUCCGGAUUCUGAAUGUUAUUGCCAUAUCAUGGAAGCUUGUGGCAAAUUGGGUGAUUCUCAGAAAUUGAUUCAACUGUUCAAUGAGCUUCAAAAUAGGGAUGAACUAGAUUUUUAUUCAUCACCCUUUUGCACUCGGAUUUAUGGGAUUCUUUGUGAGUCACUCGCCAAAUCAGGAAGAGCUUUUGAAGCUCUUGAUUACAUGAGGGAAAUGACAGAGAAAGGGAUCUCCAAGGAUUCUUCCCUUUACUCUGCUUUGAUAUGUUGUUUUGCGGGCAUGCGAGAAGUAAAGGUUGCAGAAGAGAUGUACGAAGAAGCAAAAAGCAAAAAGAUGGUGAGAGAUCCCGGGGUGUACUUAAAACUUGUGUUGAUGUAUGUGGAAGAAGGGCCACUGGAGAAGACUCUUGAGAUUGUUAAAGCAAUGAAAGAUUCAGGACUCAGGAUUUCUGAUUGCAUAUUCUGUGCAAUUGUCAAUGGCUUCUCAAAGAAAAGGGGGUUUCUGGCUUCUGUCAAUGUCUAUGAAGAGCUAAUAUUGCAGGGAUGUGAAGCAGGGCAGGUAACCUACUCAUCCAUUAUAAACGCCUACAGCAAUCUGGGCCUUCAUUGGAAGGCCGAGAUGGUGUUCUCAGAGAUGCAACAAAAGGGGUUUGACAGAUGUGUGGUGGCGUAUUCUAGCAUAAUUGUAAUGUAUGGGAAAACAGGGAGGCUUAGAGAUGCAAUGAGGGUGCUGGCGAAGAUGAAAGAAAAAGGGUGUCAACCAAAUGUAUGGAUUUACAACUCCUUGAUGGAAAUGCAUGGGAGGGCCAAGAAUUUGAGGCAGGUUGAGAAGUUGUGGAAGGAAAUGAAGAGAAGAAAGGUUGGACCAGAUAAGGUUAGCUACACUAGUGUUAUUAGUGCUUAUAGUAAGGCAGGGGAGCUGGAAAUUUGUAUGAGAUACUACAAUGAGUUUAGGAUCAAUGGGGGUGUGAUUGAUAGGGCCAUGGCCGGAAUAAUGGUCGGAGUUUUCUCCCGGAGUAGUCGGAUUGAUGAGUUGGUGAAGCUUUUACGGGAUAUGAAAUCUGAAGGAACUCGAUUAGAUGGGAGGCUUUAUCAUUCGGCUUUGGAUGCCUUGAGCGAUGCUGGUUUGCAAGGCCAAGCCCAGUGGUUGCAGGAGUCCUUUGCCACCACCUACUUGAAUUCUUCACUUGAAACUCAUGGCCGAAGGUAGACCAAUUUCCUCACUAUUAUCCCAGACAGUAAGAGAAGAAAAGGCAACGUUGAGAGCCCAGAUAGGAUCAAGGCUAUCUGGAUUGUUGGUAAAAAAAAAUGCCGAAGAAGACAUGACCCGAUCCUCCUCCUCCGGCACCUUUCUCAGCUGCCCAACCACUGGCCGGCUAAGACCAGCGGCGCCCCACCUUCGCCAUCGCAUACCGCGUCCUAGAUGCGCCGCCGCAAGAAUCCACUGCCAGCCAAGCAGGCCGCCGUGCCAGCCAGCCGGCGUCGUUCCUCCGUUCAUCCUUGACUCGUCGCAACCAUUCACAGGUCAGAUCCAGCACCAUCCCAUCCUGCCGGUUCAGCCACGGAAAUUGCCCAGUGCUGCUGCAGACUUCAUCCCACGGAUUUGUUUUGUGAUUUUGAGAAGACAAAAUGUUUGGUGACUAAUGAAGAUUCGGUUGUAUUCGAUGACGAUGUGGUUGAAAUAAAUACAAUAGAAUAUCCUUCUAUUUAUACGAAUCCGAUGACGAAAAAAAGGGUUAAGAAGAAGCGUAAGAAGACCUCAAUAGUUUGGACCAAUUUUGAUGAACUUUCUUCUACAGAUCCAAAUGACCCAAGGAUAUGGGCAAAAUGCAAGUUUGUGAUCAUAAAUAUAUAGCUAAUAGUUCACAUGGAACUAGAAAUCUACAGAAGUAUAGGAAGGUUUGUGGGGGAAAAAUGAUCAUAAUAUUCAGCAAUUGCUCCUAUCUAGAGGUCAAGGAACUCUGUCAGAAUUUCUAGCAUUUGAUGGAGUCGAUUCUGAUGCACAAAAGACUCAAUUAGAACUUUAUUUAGAUGUACCCAAGUAUGUGGAUAAGAAUGCGACGUUUGACAUCCUUUCAUUUUGGAAAGGAAAUGAAUUUCGUUAUCCUAAAGUAGUUGCCAUGGCUCGUGAUAUUUUGAGUAUUCCUAUUUCUACUGUUGCUUCAGAAUCCACUUUUAGUAUUGGUGGACGUGUGAUUGAUCAGUAUAAGAGUUUACUCAAACCUGAUAUUGUUGAGACAUUAGUUUGCACUAGAGAUUGGUUAUAUGGAGAGUAAGAACAAGCUUUAAUGAAGGUGAAUAACAAAGAAGAGGAUAUUCUGACAUUGGAUAGUUCCAAUUCCUGUGACAUUUUAAGUAUAUCUGGAGCAUGUUAAAAUGAGCAUAUUUGUGGAUCAUUCAACUAUUCAAGAGUGGACAACAAAUGUCAAAAAUG